Molecule: unclassified non-coding RNA, 237 nt
Filed under: air metagenome
Description: partial contains small subunit ribosomal RNA, internal transcribed spacer 1, and 5.8S ribosomal RNA
Rfam family: Eukaryotic small subunit ribosomal RNA (bases 1-46)
Source: RNAcentral
AAGUCGUAACAAGGUUUCCGUAGGUGAACCUGCGGAAGGAUCAUUACAGAGUUCAUGCCCUCACGGGUAGAUCUCCCACCCUUGUAUAUCUAUCGAUGUUGCUUUAGCGGGCCACAGGCCCUGCCCGUACCGGUUCCGGCCGGUCGUGCCCGCUAGAGACCCCCUAACUCUGAAUGUUAGUGUCGUCUGAGUACUAUAAAAUAGUUAAAACUUUCAACAACGGAUCUCUUGGUUCUG